GGAGAGUUGACGAGAGUGACACCUGUGGGAAAUUCGCUCCGAAGAUCCGAGGGAGAUUUCGUAGGACUUCGGUGGCUACGUGAUAUCGCUUCUGUCUACGUUGUAUUUUUGGAAUCAGGUUUUAAUCCAAACUCACAAAGACUAGUAAUGAACUGUUCACGUCAGUAGACAAAAAA
Molecule: long non-coding RNA, 176 nt
Organism: Penaeus monodon (black tiger shrimp)
Lineage: Eukaryota; Metazoa; Arthropoda; Malacostraca; Decapoda; Penaeidae
Exons: 2
Source: RefSeq, a predicted model, not a curated record